Long non-coding RNA from Alosa sapidissima (American shad), 672 nucleotides. RefSeq lists it as uncharacterized. The record is from RefSeq and is a predicted model, not a curated record. The transcript is spliced from 3 exons. NCBI's taxonomy places the organism in Eukaryota, Metazoa, Chordata, Actinopteri, Clupeiformes, Clupeidae.
GGCAGACUAACUGCUGUACCAAGUUUGUCCUCCUGUUCUCACCGUAGCUCCUCUCCUAUCGGUCACGCCCUCCAGUUAGCUUGCAGGUGGCUAUGUACUCAUUAGCGUCAAUGGCACUUUCUAUAAGACCGGCACCGGAGGUGGGCUAGUAAGUGAUCCCUAGGCUCCGUACGUCCUCCCUACACUGUGUUCGCUGUGCUGUCACCUAUGAAAGGUAUUUGGCUGUGUACCAGACGCUUCCGGGUAGUGUUUUGUUGAUCUACCGAAGGUCUUGACUGAAAAGACGCCGUGUACGCGCAGGUUGCACUUUCUAUUGGGAGAUGCGUUAAGGUAACAUUGGCUGUAUAUCUCAGUAAGGUUUGCCAUGUAAUAUGUGUGUGUGUGCAUGUGUACAUAUGUAUGUUUAUAUGCCAGUUUACAGUAACUGGAUCUACUAUAAUGUGUCAUGUUUCGCUGUAAGUCCUUGUGAUUUAACUAGCCAAUAACCUUUUAUCAUGUUGUAUGUGAGCUAUGCUUGUGUGUGAUUUUAUGUAGGUUUGCGUACUGGAGAGAUACCAGGGAGUCCCAUUUCCAUUCAUGUUGAGUGCUGUAUUCCUAGAGGUAAAAGGAAACCGUGUUGUAUUGUAUCUGUAUUGGUUUAGGCUGUAUUUACCAUAAACAAUGGAUUUUAAC